This 346-nucleotide ribosomal RNA is filed under the name Endeis spinosa. Its description in RNAcentral is "partial 12S ribosomal RNA". Lineage: Eukaryota; Metazoa; Arthropoda; Pycnogonida; Pantopoda; Endeidae. The record is from RNAcentral.
UUUAGUUUUAAAUAUUUUGCCUGGGGAUUACUUGUUAAGGUCAUCAAACUCAAAGGAUUUGGCGGUAAGAAAUCUUAUUAGAGGAACUUGUACUGUGAUAGAUAACACGCGUAUUAUUUUACUUAUAAUAUAUUACUUUGUAUAUCGUCGUUUAAGAAAAUGUUUAUUGAUUUAAUUUUCUACAGGGUUAUUAUUCUCUUUAAAUCAGAUCAAGAUACAGGUUAUUUGUAAGGGGGUUUAUGAGUUACAUUUAAUUUAUUAAUAGUUUUCUUUUUUAAAUAUUGGAAUUAAAUUGGAUUUAAAAGUAAUUUAUUAUUAGAAUGUUUAUAUGAAUUUUUCUUUUUUA